CUGUUUUACAUUCCAAAUUCAAACAUGUCGAGCUUGAUUUAUUUUUUGUUCGUAAGAAUGUAGCUGAUGGCUCAAUUAUUGUUGGUGAGGUCCCUUCCUGUGAAUAGGUAGCUGACAUUAUUACCAAGCCACUCUCUGUAUCGUAUUUUGAUCGAUUUCGAGGGCUUCUUCGGGUUUUACCUCUUGAAAAGUUAGGUAAAUGUUAAAAGUAUAGGUUGUUAGUUUGUUAUUUCAGAUGUUAGGUUGUUAACAAUAGCAAUAGUUAAGUUGUUAACAAUAGCAGUUAUUCAGAUACUCUAUAAAUAUCUUUGCUAUAGUUUAAAAAAAAGCAAGUAGAUGUACAGAAAAGUUUCUUAAUACAAAAUACAUUUCAUUCUAUUUCUUUUCAAUCAAUACUUUUAGGUUUAAGUUUACCGUAGGUGUUAACACAUACCAUCAGCGUUUGCUGCAGAGGCUCUCCCUUGUGUUCAGGCGAUUCAGUUCGGGGCAGAGUUAGGUUUCUUAAGAAGUGACAUUGAAGGUGAUGCUUUGUCAGUUAUCAAGAAGAUUCAAAGUGAGGAAGAUGACAGAUCUGAAAUUAGGGCUUACACUUUAGAUGCUAAAAGACUAAAAAGUUACUUCAUUUCUUGUUGAUUUAGACAUGCAUGGAGACAAAUGAACAAAGUGGCACAUCUAUUAGCAAAAGAAGGACUCGGUAUGGAAGAAUAUGCUUAUCUGAGGAACGACCUUCCCAAAUCUGUUGCCCAGGCUGGUGAGGAAAAUAGACGCGAUGGAAGAAGUGCACAACUGAUGAGUUCAAGUUGGAACCAAGGAAUCAUCGACCAUGUGAUAGGAAAAUGUUAAAAUGGAAUGCUCAUGUAAUGUGUUUUGACGAUUGGGGAAAAGGAAAGUUAGACAGUGAAGAUAUUUUGGUUCAGCUUGCUCAAACAUCAGAGCAACUAAUUAGCGAGUAAAAUCGCUCUUUGAAGGGAUAUCUAAGUCAUAGGUGUUUUCUUGGUUUUUGUUGAUGAGUCUCUCUGGAAAUGAAAUGCCAAAGAUGGAAGAAGAAGAAGAAGAAGAGGAAGAAAGGGAUUCGUCAAUGAAAGAUGAAUGGUUGUUGAUUGAUUUUUAGGGGUUUGUUAGGAAAUUUGAUUGUUUUAGGGGUUUUGUUUUUA
This 1154-nucleotide long non-coding RNA is filed under the name Gossypium barbadense (sea-island cotton). RNAcentral describes it as "long non-coding RNA (GBAR_LNC017051)". The record is from RNAcentral. Lineage: Eukaryota; Viridiplantae; Streptophyta; Magnoliopsida; Malvales; Malvaceae.